GAACCGUGCAAAGGUAGCGUAAUCACUUGCCUAUUAAUUGUAGGCCUGUAUGAAAGGCAUAAUGAGGGUUUAACUGUCUCUUUUAGUAAAUCGAUUAAACUGAUCUCCUAGUCCAAAAGCUAGGAUACUAACAUAAGACCAGAAGACCCUGUGAAGCUUUAACUAAACUAUUAAACCCUAUAAUAGCUCCUUUCGGUUGGGGCGACCUUGGAAAAAAAAAGAACUUCCAAACACAAUAUACCAUCUAUAUUUACCAGGCUAACAAGCCUACCACGACCCAGCACAGCUGACAACUGAACCAAGUUACUCCAGGGAUAACAGCGCUAUCUUCUUCAAGAGCCCAUAUCAAAAAGAAGGUUUACGACCUCGAUGUUGGAUCAGGACAUCCUAAUGGUGCAACCGCUAUUAAAGGUUCGUUUGUUCAACGAUUAACA
Molecule: ribosomal RNA, 434 nt
Filed under: Toxicocalamus loriae (Loria forest snake)
Lineage: Eukaryota; Metazoa; Chordata; Lepidosauria; Squamata; Elapidae
Description: partial 16S ribosomal RNA
Rfam family: Bacterial large subunit ribosomal RNA
Source: RNAcentral